UACGGGGGGGGCAAGCGUUGUUCGGAAUUACUGGGCGUAAAGCGCACGUAGGCGGCUUUGUAAGUUAGAGGUGAAAGCCCGGAGCUCAACUCCGGAACUGCCUUUAAGACUGCAUCGCUUGAAUCCAGGAGAGGUGAGUGGAAUUCCGAGUGUAGAGGUGAAAUUCGUAGAUAUUCGGAAGAACACCAGUGGCGAAGGCGGCUCACUGGACUGGUAUUGACGCUGAGGUGCGAAAGCGUGGGGAGCAAACAGG
This 253-nucleotide ribosomal RNA is filed under the name uncultured bacterium. Its description in RNAcentral is "partial 16S ribosomal RNA". It matches the Rfam family "Bacterial small subunit ribosomal RNA", at positions 524 to 776 of the family's 1533-position model. The record is from RNAcentral.